Molecule: transfer RNA, 64 nt
Filed under: Prorhinotermes simplex
Lineage: Eukaryota; Metazoa; Arthropoda; Insecta; Blattodea; Rhinotermitidae
Also listed under: 1 other name
Description: tRNA-Asp
Source: RNAcentral
AAAGGAUUAGUUAAUCUAAUAACAUUAGUAUGUCAAGCUAAAAUAAUCAAAAAGAUAUCCUUUU